This 9742-nucleotide long non-coding RNA is filed under the name Lactuca sativa (garden lettuce). Its description in RNAcentral is "long non-coding RNA (LSAT_LNC007160)". Lineage: Eukaryota; Viridiplantae; Streptophyta; Magnoliopsida; Asterales; Asteraceae. The record is from RNAcentral.
ACAAUUUAAUCAUAUUUUCAUAAAAAUCUUUAUUUAAAUAAUAAAAGCAAGUGGGUAAAGUACAAAGAGGUGGAGUGUUGACUUUGCUUUACUUUAUGACACAAGCAACCACUCCCACACCCACUCUAUGACCAGCCACACCUCCCCACCUUACCUAGGUCACAUCAAUGUCCUUUCCACUCAAUCAUCACUCCUUCCCACGUUUUUGAGAGCUGAAUAUUCAUCCUCUCUCCUCAUUUCUCUCAUUUUCUCUCUUUUCACCAAAAAGAGCAAACUCUUUUCUCUCUCAUUUUCCCUCUCUAGAACUCGAGAUUUGAGGGCUGAUCUUGGGAUUUUCCUCCACAUUUGGUAAGAAUAAUCCAUUCUCUUUAUGAUUAUCUCAAUUAUUUCCACUCAAAUCAUGGAUAUCUUACACAAACUCCAUUAUAAUUGUGUUAGAUCUUCGAAUCUUCAAGUGAUUCUUCAAGUGUUCUUGGGUUGAACACUUCUCUUCUUCAACACUUACCUACUGAAAUCACUUAAGGUGAGUUCAUACCCCUACAUUUUCAUGUUUUCUCAAGUUUUUAGGGGGGGAAUACAAGUUAAAACACCAAGAACAUAACUAAACUUUUCUAACAGCCUUCAUCAGAAAAGUUCAACUCCAUUCACGGACUGUUUUGGACAACUUAAACAUUUUAGUUUUCAAAACUGUUUUAGGUGUAAGUAGUUCCAGUUCUUAGCUUUAAAAUGACUACUUGCACAUCUCCAUACGAUUUUUCUACAAUUUAUGGUGAUUUUUACAAAACUGCCUAUCAUUUCAAACAUCAAUCCGGACCAGUCUGUGAUUAUGGACUUUUUCACCCAAGUUAGAGGUCAUUAAAAAUUAUAAUAAAAAUUAUGAACAAACUAGACUCAUUUUCCAAACUCUCAGAAGUUACAGAACUUGAUUUGGACAUUUUAUGAUUUUUCUACAAUUUUUCCAAUAACAGUUACAGAAAAUGUUAUUAACAGAAAAACACUAUAAAUUUCAUUUCACCUUGUAACAUGUUGAGCAAGGUAUACAUCAUUAUGUGAUUAUGUGUUGUUGCAAUAUAUGACAAUUUUGUAUUCUUAUAUAGACAUACAUCAGAAAACAAAUGGAUUUAUACCUCCACAAGUAUGGUAAAUAUAUAAAUGAUAUUACAAGGCUAUAUCCAUUAAAAUAUAAACAUUGGUAAAUUAUGACAAGUAAGGCUUAUGCUCACUACCCACACAAAUAAUUAAUAAACUAUAAUAGGUAUAGUUUAGGGUUAUUUUACAUAACAAACACAUGAUUAAAGGUUUUACACAUACAAAAGAGUUAUUACCACUAUGGAUAAUUAUGAUAAACUAUAAUAAGUAUAGUUAAGCCAUUAUACCCCCACAAACGAACACGCUAGUUAUAAUCGGUAUAGUUAUGGCAUAUAUAUAUUACAAACAAAGUGAUAAACUAUAAUAGGUAUAGUUUAUGUUUCAUCUACACUAUGAACUUAAUUACAAGAAAGGAAUUCACCAUCACCACCACUUUUGGUAAACUAUAAUAUGCAUAGUUCAUGUUCACUAGUCACUAUCACUAUUUGAUGAACUAUGAUAUGUAUAGGUUAUAUUCACCAUCACCACCACUUUUGGUAAACUAUAAUAUGCAUAGUUCAUGUUCACUAGUCACUAUCACUAUCUGAUGAACUAUGAUAUGUAUAGUUUAUGUUCACAGUCACUAUUACUAUUUCGUACACUACACUAGGAUUGGUUCCGGUUAUUGGGUUUAAGUCCACAUUCACUUUCGCAUUGUUAGUUUUCAGCUAUAAUUUCUAAGUGUAUAUGGUAGAGUUAUAUAGAAUCUAGUCGUGAUUGGCUUAGAAUUGGUGGGCCCGCCUCAUCUCCUGUUCCUUGUUUGGUUGUGGACCUAGGGCAGACCCAUUAUAUUCAACGUUUUAUCAACUUAAAUCUUAUAUAACUUAUAUACGCUGGACGAUUAUAGGGGAAAUCUACGGGUCAAUCUAGGGUUCAUUAACACAUCAUAUAGGAAUAUUCUGUUUACACUUAACUAAGAAAAUAUUGGAUUUUCUGGAAAUCAACUCUAUCGAUUUUAUAAGGAAAACGGUUUCUACUCCAAACAAAACUCUUAUGAACUCACCAACUUAAUUGUUGACACUCUUUCAAAACUACUUGUAUUCUCAGGAAAUCAGUGAAACAGGAAAACUUCAGCGCUUUGAGGAUGGGACGUUAAACCGUCAACAAUUUAUUUUUGUCAUCAUAAUGUAAUUGAUUUUGAAACAUGUAAACAUAUACUUUGGUGUAACUUUUUCAAUUAUAUUUAUGAUGGUUGUAUUUACUUUGAGCACUAUUAUACACGUUGUUGUGAUACUGUACAUGAAGUCCUCCACCCCCGGACGUUUCCGCCAUCCUUGGUUUGGGGGUGUGACAGAUUGGUAUCAGAGCAUUGUUUAUAGUGAACUCAGUAUAUCGAACCACAUAAGAUAUACAAACUAUAAAUACAUUGGGACUGAAAGUCUCUGAUUUAAAGUUUUCAAAGCAACUAUACUUUUAGAAACAAAUAAUUUCUCGGUAAAAGUAGGAGCAUGUGCACACACACUAGGGUCAGUAUCAUGGUGGGAUGGGACAAAAGUGGUGAUUGUUGAACAAUACGAGUAGGCUUGGGGAUGUAUAGUCAGGUCUGGGAAUGACAUAGCCUGAUCAACUAUGUCUCACCCAGAAGUGAUUAGCAUAUGCCCAGGAAUGGUCGUAGGUGUUGCAACAAGUCUAAAACUUACCAACACUACCACAAUGAAAUACCAUAGGGGUAUUUGGUGUUAUUAUAAUUACUUAUUUGAGAACUAAAUAGAUUUUUAUCAAUAGGUCAAUAAUUGCCUAGUGGAUACAUUAAAAUUAUAUGUAUCCAGGACGUCAUAGACUUAGAAUCUGUGGAUCUUUGCUUUACUUCCUGUUCUCGUUGGAUUGGGGAUUUAGAGUUAGGAUCGCUUAUUCGAAGGUCUAUCCUGUCCCAAAUACAUAUGACUAGUAUGCACUAAACAAUAUAUUGAAGUACCUGAUAAAGAUCAUCUUAUAAUUAUCUAAUUAGUACGUCUACUUAGUUAUUUCUUAUAUCCCCAUUUCUCGCGAAGAUAUCAUGGCUGAAUUCCAUCCCCACGACGACCCGUACUACCCUAACCACGACAAUACUGAAUGGCUCGGAGAGGAGCCAGAGAAUGAUUACCGAAUCCCUUUGGAUGGUCACCAAGCUGAAGGCUUUGCUGAUGGUUCUGACUCCGACCCUGAAGUGGAGAACCUACCCUGAUGGCUCUUGUUCCGAAUCCUAUCCCUCGUCCGGUUUUUCAAGGCCCGACGCCUCCUUGGGUAGAGUGCUUGGAAACCUGGAGCGAAGAACACGACCAACCUAGGCUGUUAAAUGGAGACAUUCGAAUCCUUCAGAAUCCGGAGACUACACUAUUCAAGGGAACCGUAGCAUUGCCCAAGAUUUUCCUUACGUUAUUGAGGUGUAGACCUAUUUUCCUCGAACCCUAUAUUACAAACAAUUUACAUAUGGUAACUCCACGAAAUUCUUAAUAUAUACCAAGUGAUUUUAGGAAGGGAUCAGGCGAAACAAAUCACAAGUUGCAUUUGAGUCACUACCACUAAAAUUCAUUCAUAGGGGGUUUGUUAUGAAUUACAUACAAAAUACUUUUAAGUCAGAACAUAAUACAGACAAGUCUGGCUUGAUAACAUCUGACUUGUCACUACUAUUAAAAACUUAUCGUUUGUUCGUCUCUACCAACUUAUGACAGGACUAUGCCGCCAAAGAAAAAGUCCAGACCCUCCGGAAGCACAGCACCGCCCCCUCCGCAGUUUGAUCCCAUAAUGUUUCAAGCUGCCGUAACAGCAGCCGUGGCGGCAGCAAUGUCGCAAAUGGGUACAAAUGGUUCCGGCGGCUUCGGAUCCGGGAAUACUAACUCGAAUCAGGGGGACAGCACAGGGCGUACUAAGGAGUGUUCUUACAAAGACUUCACGAAUGGCAAACCCGAUCCUUUCGACGGAAGCGGGGGCGUCAUCGCGCUGAUGCAAUGGUUCGAAAGGACCGAAGCAGUCUUCGAAAUCUGUGCUUGUCCCGAAGCAAGCAAAGUCAAGUAUGCGGCAUUCACUUUCACAAGAAAAGCUCUUACUUGGUGGAAUGGCCGAGUUAAGUCACUUACUCCUGCAGUGGCUAACUCCAUAGGCUGGGAAAACUUAAAAGCGUUGAUGUUAAAGGAGUAUUGCCCGAGGGGAGAAAUACAAAAACUCGAAGAAGAACUCUGGAAUCUCAAGAUGUCAGGGACGGAUCUCGAAGCUUAUACUGCCCGAUUCAAUGACCUAGCACUCCUCUGUCCUGCAAUGGUCACCCCAGAGGAGAAAAAGGUAGAACGAUACCUUUGGGGGCUAUCAUCCCAGAUUCAUGAUAGUGUAUUGGCCUCCAGACCAACUACCUUCGACAGCGCCAAGGAGUUGGCACAACAACUCAUCGACCAUCGUGCCAGCCAUGACACUACGACAACCACGCCAAUUUUUGUUGUUCAUGUUGCCACAACCCUCACCACGCCAACUCCCAUGAAACAAUACGCUGGAACCCUUCCGAAAUGUAACAAGUGUAGCUUCCAUCACACUGGGGCUUGUAGAGAAUUGCAUUGCAUGAACUGCAAUAGGAAAGGGCACACUACCCGUUUCUGUAGGGCACCGGCACGACCCAUCAACCAGUUCCCCGGCUCUGGAGUAAGCCCAGCCUGUUACAAAUGUGGAGAAACAGGCCACUUUAAAAGGAACUGCCCAAGAGCAAGAGAUGCCAGUGGUGGUGGAAGGGUGCUUGCGAUCACCGAAGGAGAGACCACCCCGGAACUGCCUGCAAACAUCAGUAUGUGUUUCUGACAUCGACGACUAAAUUCCAAAUUUCUUUAUUUGAUUAAGUCUAGCAUCAAUUAAAGCAUGCAUAGUAGUAAUGCCAAGGAUUAAACUGAGAGCAUAAACAAUAAGAAAUUCCAAGGCCGUCAUGAGACCAUUCUAUGAAUUUACUUCGACUCCGUAAUGGGACUGCAUCAUAGGGAUGUAGGUCAAACCUUCGAGAACAUACUUCUACUCUAUAGGUGAACGGUUGAAAUACAUCUAGGUUCAAUGAUAGCCCUGACUAGGAACUCUAAUUCAUUAAGAAGGAUUACUAAGAAUGUUAUUUGUUAUGAUUUCCUCACUUAUACAUUCCCCAGUUAUAUAUAACGAAUACCUGGUAGAUAAUAGAAUGUGAGAAUUCUGACUUAGUUUCUUUUCCUCGUUGGGAUGUGAAACUGAAGUAGAAUCACACAUUUUACUAUCCGCCCAGUAUUGGUUAUAUCAUAAUGUGUAUAAGCUAAGUUUUCAUGUAUAAUAACUCAUCUCUUAGUCAGAAUCAAAAUAAUGUAGAGCCGACCUUAGUCAUUCACAAACUCCUUGCCUGAUUUCAAAUUUCGGGACGAAAUUCCCUCUAACGGGGGGAUGAUGUGACAACCGUCAAUUUUCAGUCAAGUCAAAGUCAACUAAAGUCAACAAGUCAAACCGGUCAACUCAAUUUGCCGUGAGUACUAGAGUUUACGUUAAGUAAUUUCUAAACAACUCUCUAUUCUAAUGAGAGAUCAUAAAUCGAAAAGUGCGUACAUCUAGAUCUCCUUAACCUAAAACGGUGGUACGUGGAGAGCCAAACCGAUAAAACAAUGUUACAUACUCAUCGGGAGUAUGCAAGAUCCUUAAACAAGGCUUAACGGGGCUUACGGACCUUGCAUUGCGAAGCCGAACACUCAAAAAGGUCACCAAUGAAACCUCUCUCAAUCGUGUUCACUCCAUCUCUUCUUAUCAGAAAUCUCUCCCAAAUCUCUCUAAGUAUGUGAAAUCUCUCCCAAAUCUCUCUUUGUAUGAGAAAUCUCUCCAAGAAUGUCAAAUCUCUCCCAAAUCUCUCUAAGUAUGUGAAAUCUCUCCCAAAUCUCUCUUUGUAUGAGAAAUCUCUCCAAGAAUGUCAAAUCUCUCCCAAAUCUCUCUAAGUAUGUGAAAUCUCUCCCAAAUCUCUCUUUGUAUGAGAAAUCUCUCCAAGAAUGUCAAAUCUCUCCCAAAUCUCUCUAAGUAUGUGAAAUCUCUCCCAAAUCUCUCUUUGUAUGAGAAAUCUCUCCAAGAAUGUCAAAUCUCUCCCAAAUCUCUCUAAGUAUGUGAAAUCUCUCCCAAAUCUCUCUUUGUAUGAGAAAUCUCUCCAAGAAUGUCAAAUCUCUCCCAAAUCUCUCUAAGUAUGUGAAAUCUCUCCCAAAUCUCUCUUUGUAUGAGAAAUCUCUCCAAGAAUGUCAAAUCUCUCCCAAAUCUCUCUAAGUAUGUGAAAUCUCUCCCAAAUCUCUCUUUGUAUGAGAAAUCUCUCCAAGAAUGUCAAAUCUCUCCCAAAUCUCUCUAAGUAUGUGAAAUCUCUCCCAAAUCUCUCUUUGUAUGAGAAAUCUCUCCAAGAAUGUCAAAUCUCUCCCAAAUCUCUCUAAGUAUGUGAAAUCUCUCCCAAAUCUCUCUUUGUAUGAGAAAUCUCUCCAAGAAUGUCAAAUCUCUCCCAAAUCUCUCUAAGUAUGUGAAAUCUCUCCCAAAUCUCUCUUUGUAUGAGAAAUCUCUCCAAGAAUGUCAAAUCUCUCCCAAAUCUCUCUAAGUAUGUGAAAUCUCUCCCAAAUCUCUCUUUGUAUGAGAAAUCUCUCCAAGAAUGUCAAAUCUCUCCCAAAUCUCUCUAAGUAUGUGAAAUCUCUCCCAAAUCUCUCUUUGUAUGAGAAAUCUCUCCAAGAAUGUCAAAUCUCUCCCAAAUCUCUCUAAGUAUGUGAAAUCUCUCCCAAAUCUCUCUUUGUAUGAGAAAUCUCUCCAAGAAUGUCAAAUCUCUCCCAAAUCUCUCUAAGUAUGUGAAAUCUCUCCCAAAUCUCUCUUUGUAUGAGAAAUCUCUCCAAGAAUGUCAAAUCUCUCCCAAAUCUCUCUAAGUAUGUGAAAUCUCUCCCAAAUCUCUCUUUGUAUGAGAAAUCUCUCCAAGAAUGUCAAAUCUCUCCCAAAUCUCUCUAAGUAUGUGAAAUCUCUCCCAAAUCUCUCUUUGUAUGAGAAAUCUCUCCAAGAAUGUCAAAUCUCUCUCAAAUCUCUCUAAGUAUGUGAAAUCUCUCCCAAAUCUCUCUUUGUAUGAGAAAUCUCUCCAAGAAUGUCAAAUCUCUCCCAAAUCUCUCUAAGUAUGUGAAAUCUCUCCCAAAUCUCUCUUUGUAUGAGAAAUCUCUCCAAGAAUGUCAAAUCUCUCCCAAAUCUCUCUAAGUAUGUGAAAUCUCUCCCAAAUCUCUCUUUGUAUGAGAAAUCUCUCCAAGAAUGUCAAAUCUCUCCCAAAUCUCUCUAAGUAUGUGAAAUCUCUCCCAAAUCUCUCUUUGUAUGAGAAAUCUCUCCAAGAAUGUCAAAUCUCUCCCAAAUCUCUCUAAGUAUGUGAAAUCUCUCCCAAAUCUCUCUUUGUAUGAGAAAUCUCUCCAAGAAUGUCAAAUCUCUCCCAAAUCUCUCUAAGUAUGUGAAAUCUCUCCCAAAUCUCUCUUUGUAUGAGAAACCUCUCCAAGAAUGUCAAAUCUCUCCCAAAUCUCUCUAAGUAUGUGAAAUCUCUCCCAAAUCUCUCUUUGUAUGAGAAAUCUCUCCAAGAAUGUCAAAUCUCUCCCAAAUCUCUCUAAGUAUGUGAAAUCUCUCCCAAAUCUCUCUUUGUAUGAGAAAUCUCUCCAAGAAUGUCAAAUCUCUCCCAAAUCUCUCUAAGUAUGUGAAAUCUCUCCCAAAUCUCUCUUUGUAUGAGAAAUCUCUCCAAGAAUGUCAAAUCUCUCCCAAAUCUCUCUAAGUAUGUGAAAUCUCUCCCAAAUCUCUCUUUGUAUGAGAAAUCUCUCCAAGAAUGUCAAAUCUCUCCCAAAUCUCUCUAAGUAUGUGAAAUCUCUCCCAAAUCUCUCUUUGUAUGAGAAAUCUCUCCAAGAAUGUCAAAUCUCUCCCAAAUCUCUCUAAGUAUGUGAAAUCUCUCCCAAAUCUCUCUUUGUAUGAGAAAUCUCUCCAAGAAUGUCAAAUCUCUCCCAAAUCUCUCUCUGUAUGUGAAAUCUCUCCCAAAUCUCUCUUUGUAUGAGAAAUCUCUCCAAGAAUGUCAAAUCUCUCCAAGAUCUCUCUAAGUAUGUGAAAUCUCUCCCAAAUCUCUCUUUGUAUGAGAAAUCUCUCCAAGAAUGUCAAAUCUCUCCCAAAUCUCUCUAAGUAUGUGAAAUCUCUCCCAAAUCUCUCUCUGUAUGAGAAAUCUCUCCAAGAAUGUCAAAUCUCUCCCAAAUCUCUCUAAGUAUGUGAAAUCUCUCCCAAAUCUCUCUUUGUAUGAGAAAUCUCUCCAAGAAUGUCAAAUCUCUCCCAAAUCUCUCUAAGUAUGUGAAAUCUCUCCCACAUCUCUCUUUGUAUGAGAAAUCUCUCCAAGAAUGUCAAAUCUCUCCCAAAUCUCUCUAAGUAUGUGAAAUCUCUCCCAAAUAUCUCUUUGUAUGUGAAAUCUCUCCAAGUAUGUCAAAUCUCUCCCAAAUCUCUCUAAGUAUGUGGAAUCUCUCUCACAUCUCUCUCAAAAUCUCUCUCAACUUUCUAUAAUCACUCGGGGCAUCCCGACCCUCGAAUUUGGCGAAAACAGCCCAAAAACGGAAGUCUACGCGAAAAACGGACUUAAGGAACCGAAACCCCUCUUAGGAACCGAAACCCCUCUUAGGAACCGAAAGUCCCCUUAGGAACCGAACCUUCUGAUGAAGAGGAACCGAACCGAAGGUACUGUUCACUACUGUUCACUACAGUUCAUUCGGUUCUGACUUCUCGCCUUUUAUCUCCUAACCGAACCCUCCCUUCUGAUGGCUUGCCGAACCUUCUCUUCUGAGGACCGAGGACCGAACCUUCCCUUCUGAGCUUCGCUUCUGAGCCUCGCUUCUGAGCUUCUGACCGAACCCUCGGCCUAGGACCCUUCGCUUCUCGCUCCUGGUUCGCAUCUCGCAUCCGGCUCAGCAACCACCAUGACCGAACCUCGGCCUAGGGACCGAACCUCGGCCUAGGACCGAGAGGCCUCGCUGGGAAGCCUUUUUCUCCCGGUUUUCGAUUAAAUUCGCGUUUUAAGCCCGUUUUUAAUUGUUUUAGCACGGGAUUUUCACCCAAAACUUUAUUUUAACAUAUAAGGCCCCUAAACUAUUAAUUAAUCACGUUUUUAAGGAUAAAACCUUAUCCAAAAGGGAGUAGGUGAAGUACAAAGAUGGAGUGUUGACUUUCCUUUAUUUUAUGACACAAGCAACCUCCAUCACCCACUCCAUGUCACUAUUCCCCAUCAGCCCUUACCUAGUCAUUUCAUUGUACUUUUCCCACCUUUUUCCAACCCCACAAUUGGUCAAAGGCUAGAAAAGCCUCCUCUCUCCUCAUUUCUCUCAUUUUCUCUCUUUUCACCAAAAAGAGCAAACUCUUUUCUCUCUCAUUUUCCCUCUCUAGAACUCGAGAUUUGAGGGCUGAUCUUGGGAUUUUCCUCCACAUUUGGUAAGAAUAAUCCCUUCUCUUUAUGAUUAUUUCACUUCUUUCUACUCGAAUCAUGGAUAUCUUACACAAACUCUCUCAUAAUUGUGUUAGAUCUUCGAAUCUUCAAGUGAUUCUUCAAGUGUUCUUGGGUUGAACACUUCUCUUCUUCAACACUUACCUACUGAAAUCACUCAAGGUGAGUUCAUACCCCUAUAUUUUCAUGUUUUCUCAAGUUUUU